Molecule: transfer RNA, 73 nt
Filed under: Mycoplasmopsis pulmonis UAB CTIP
Lineage: Bacteria; Bacillati; Mycoplasmatota; Mycoplasmoidales; Metamycoplasmataceae
Description: Mycoplasma pulmonis UAB CTIP tRNA
Rfam family: tRNA
About the family: Transfer RNA (tRNA) molecules are approximately 80 nucleotides in length. Their secondary structure includes four short double-helical elements and three loops (D, anti-codon, and T loops). Further hydrogen bonds mediate the characteristic L-shaped molecular structure. tRNAs have two regions of fundamental functional importance: the anti-codon, which is responsible for specific mRNA codon recognition, and the 3' end, to which the tRNAs corresponding amino acid is attached (by aminoacyl-tRNA synthetases). tRNAs cope with the degeneracy of the genetic code in two manners: having more than one tRNA (with a specific anti-codon) for a particular amino acid; and 'wobble' base-pairing, i.e. permitting non-standard base-pairing at the 3rd anti-codon position.
Source: Rfam by way of RNAcentral
AGCGGAGUGGAGCAGUUGGCAGCUCGUCGGGCUCAUAAUCCGAAGGUCGUAGGUUCGAAUCCUACCUCCGCAA